Molecule: long non-coding RNA, 1106 nt
Filed under: Pelusios castaneus (West African mud turtle)
Lineage: Eukaryota; Metazoa; Chordata; Testudines; Pelomedusidae
Description: lncRNA (ENSPCEG00000013797.1)
Source: RNAcentral
UGGUGAUGUCAGGUACCGAGCCCUGCCCGCAUGCCCGGCUCUCUCCGCUGGAGAGUAAGCUGGGCCAGUGGCGAUGUAGUGGUGGCUGCGGACGGGCUUCAGCGGCAGGUGAAAGCGCGUAGCAGUCUCUGGAGCGUGGGCGUGAGAAAGGCAGUCUCUCAAAUGCCAUCAUCCAUGCCACUGCUAGAUAUGCUUACCAAGUAAACCUAUCUGGGAACUUCCUGUUCUUUUAAUUAAGCGUCCUCCCUGCCACGUGUUGUAAGGUGAGAUUCCCUCACAGAGGAGGAAGGCGGAGGCUGACAACUGCAGUUGGGGCUCACUGGUGACCCAGCUGUUCUGCAGAGAUCACGGAAAAGAGGCUGUAAGGCAUGAAAAGGCCCGUGCUGUCAGCUGCCAGAUACCCACGGAGGCUCCUCUGCAUGGCCUAAAACCCCAUGAAAGCAAGGUGCCUGUGAAGAAGAAAACAGAUCUGUAGCUCGGAAGAAGAGAACUCGUUCAAGUGGUGUUUUAUUUUUAAACUCUGAUCUUCCCAGUUGCUUGCCUGGCUAAGUAGUAGAACUGGAAUGGCCCAGGGAGCGGAAAUCAGGGGAACUUUCUUUAUUAUUUUAAAAUGAUAGACCCCAAAUUCUUUUUUAUAAAAGCCUGUUUCAUUACACCCAGGUCUGGAAGUCUCUUUGACUUGGUUUUCUGUAUUUCCCUGCUCCCUUUUAAAAGCAGCUAAGCACAAGUCCAACUUCUGGAGGAAGUGCUGGGUGGGGUCGCGCCAAAUGUUGGAAGAAGAUGUGUUAAGGCAUCAAGAACCAAAGAAGAGAAUCUGGUCAACUGUGUUUAUCUCUAGGUCUCCUUGAUCUGGGAAAAGGAGAACUAGAGCUGACUUGUAUCUGGAGUCGUCUCCCAUUUCUUUGCCGGCUUGGUGGUUGGUGUCUUCCAUUCCUGGAUUGUGCUGGAUGGGGGUCUCUGCUUGGGAACUAGCCUCUGCGGUUGAGGGCAGGAGCACAAGAACAAAGGAGGUGGCAUCUAGGUGCAGGAAGGGGCAUUGGUGUAAGCCUCUGGCAGGCCUUUUCUGGGACAGGGGACUGCUGUAUCCCCACCAAGGUGAGGGUCGG